AAAGAGAUAGUUUAUUAAAAAUUUGGACUUUGGGAGUCUGGGAUGUUGGAGUUAGCCAAUUCUCUUUA
Molecule: transfer RNA, 68 nt
Filed under: Ophioplocus japonicus
Lineage: Eukaryota; Metazoa; Echinodermata; Ophiuroidea; Amphilepidida; Ophiolepididae
Description: tRNA-Pro
Source: RNAcentral